This 159-nucleotide non-coding RNA is filed under the name human gut metagenome. The record is from RNAcentral.
GCUUAUAGGAAUUAAAAGGGAAACAGGUGAGAAUCCUGUACAGUUCCCGCUGCUGUAAGUCCGGAGGUUAUAUACCUUUUAUAUUGCAUUCUUUUAGUCACUGAUAUUUUAUCGGGAAGGCGCAAUUUCAGACAAGUCAGAAGACCUGCUCUCGUACUU